Molecule: ribosomal RNA, 468 nt
Filed under: uncultured bacterium
Lineage: Bacteria
Description: partial 16S ribosomal RNA
Rfam family: Bacterial small subunit ribosomal RNA
Source: RNAcentral
GACGAACGCUGGCGGCGUGCUUAACACAUGCAAGUCGAACGGAAAGGCCCUGCUUCUGUGGGGUGCUCGAGUGGCGAACGGGUGAGUAACACGUGAGUAACCUGCCCUUGACUUUGGGAUAACUUCAGGAAACUGGGGCUAAUACCGGAUAGGAGCUCCUGCUGCAUGGUGGGGGUUGGAAAGUUUCGGCGGUUGGGGAUGGACUCGCGGCUUAUCAGCUUGUUGGUGGGGUAGUGGCUUACCAAGGCUUUGACGGGUAGCCGGCCUGAGAGGGUGACCGGCCACAUUGGGACUUAGAUACGGCCCAGACUCCUACGGGAGGCAGAAGUGGGGAAUAUUGCACAAUGGGCGGAAGCCUGAUGCAGCAACGCCGCGUGCGGGAUGACGGCCUUCGGGUUGUAAACCGCUUUCGCCUGUGACGAAGCGUGAGUGACGGUAAUGGGUAAAGAAGCACGGGCUAACUACGUG